ACAUAAACCAGCAACGCAGACACACACAACGUCUGCAUGAAAAGAUCAGAAAAGACAGUCAUACAUCAGGGCUCUCAUGGCUCAGUCUGACACACGUCACAGCUUUGUGCCAGAUACUUCCAGUAAACUCCAAGAAAAGGUCUGCACUGCAUCCUCUAUUAAAUCCAGAAUAGCUGUCCUGGAGGUGAAUCUGCCAAGUGCUGCAAACACAAUCAGCAGCUCCCACACUCCUAAGCCUAACAGAAGAUGCACUGACUCCUCUGGACCUGCUUUUCAUCUCAAAAAUGUAGCAGUGAAGUCUGCAGUGAAAGCAAAUCCUGAUAUUUCCAGCAACUCCAGUGUCUUCCCUGCUUCAGCCAAGCCACCAUGGAAUAAUAACAAUAGACACAAGCCUAUUAGAGCUUUGCAAGCAGAAAUCCAGAAGUUCAACGUGCCAUCCCAGAGCACCAGACCAUCUCUGCUGCAGAAAAACAGUAUUAGCAAACAGCAAAGUUUUACCGACAGUGAUGGUAGGGUGGAGAACAUCAUCUGCACUAAACCCCCUCAACUCCCCAAAUACCUUAAAACCAAUGACUGCAGAACCCAAAAUCAACUUCAAAGAGAGAGCGCUGAGCCCUCUGUUCCUAUGACAAGGUUCCCUAAUGUGUUUGCUGUGGGAAGCCCUCCUCCAAAGCCUGACAGGCCUCCCAGUGUUGACAUCCAAAGAUUUAGGAGGAAUAUGAAAUCUCUGACUGAUGGAUCAUGGAUGAAGAUACUACAUUGUGCUAAACCUGCCCCUGCACCUCAACGUCUGCGACCACCAUCCAACCAGGCUGCUGUUUUGAUGGAACCAGCAGAGAGGUCUGACAAACAUAAAAAAAGUGAAGUCACAGAGGGGAAACAGGCAGAUCCAAAAGGAACCAUCAACUCAGAGGAAAUGAAAAGUCAUGCUCCGAGAGAGGACAAAACACAUCUGAAACAACAGAAAGCCAAAGAGGAGGUGCACCAAGAAAUACAGAAGAUAUUCCAGAUUAAAGGACCUGCUCAUAUAAUCAAGAAGGGGAAGGCACUUUUUGAUUUUAAAAGAGUAAAAUCAGAUGUUACUCUGAGUCAAGGAGGACGUGUCCACAGUACAGUUGUCUCUAUGAAGUCAGAGUCUUUUGAUACAGACCAUGAUGUUUCAAACAAGGACGAGGAGCCAAUGUCUAUGUCCAACCAGAGUGAUUCAGAGAUUUACGAUGACAUUGGGGCACCAGAUGAUAGUGGCGCAAACGUGCAAAAUGUUGGGGAGGAUGACAUUUAUUAUGAUGUGGAUAAUCCAGAGACAAGAGUUUCUCUUUUGCCACAGUCAACCGUAGAUGAAGAUGACGUGUAUGAUGAUAUUGCUUCCCAAAGUCCUCAACUGCCUUUUGAUGGGUAAUAAUGUUGAUGUGAUAAAUACACAUUGUGACUCAGUGCUUGAGAUUUAUGGCAACAUCAAUGAAGACUGUGUCUAUGAAAUCAACUAAUCUACAAUAAUGACAGUGCCAGCACAGAUCUUCAUUACCUGUAUUGAUCAUUUACAGUUUAAAUUAUUGUGCAUUUUCACAAAGCAAAGCUUGUAGGAAUUAAUCCAAAAAUGUUCUACAUUAUCUAUGAUUAAAACAUGAAACGUUUUGGUGAAUAUCAUGUUGCAACCUGUUGUAGCAACUGUGCUGUGCUUUGAACUGUUACCAGUGCAAUGGUGACAUGGACUGACAAAUAUGGACAAAUCCUGUUUAUUUUCAGUAGGCUAAGUGUGUUGGCUGGUACAUUAUUUUGUUGGAGAAAAAAGCAUAAUCAUCAGCAUUUAUUAAAGCAACUUGUCUGUAUAUUAAACAGAUUGAUCAAUA
Molecule: RNA transcript, 1850 nt
Organism: Lates calcarifer (barramundi perch)
Lineage: Eukaryota; Metazoa; Chordata; Actinopteri; Centropomidae
Gene name: FYN-binding protein 1
Exons: 13
Source: RefSeq, a predicted model, not a curated record